Molecule: ribosomal RNA, 460 nt
Filed under: uncultured bacterium
Lineage: Bacteria
Description: partial 16S ribosomal RNA
Rfam family: Bacterial small subunit ribosomal RNA
Source: RNAcentral
CCUACGGGUGGCAGCAGUGAGGAAUAUUGGUCAAUGGGCGCGAGCCUGAACCAGCCAAGUAGCGUGAAGGAUGAAUGCCCUACGGGUUGUAAACUUCUUUUAUAAAGGAAUAAAGUGAGGCACGUGUGCCUUUUUGUAUGUCCUUUAUGAAUAAGGCUCGGCUAACUCCGUGCCAGCAGCCGCGGUUAUACGGAGGGUCCGAGCGUUAUCCGGAUUUAUUGGGUUUAAAGGGAGCGUAGAUGGGUUGUUAAGUCAGUUGUGAAAGCUUGCGGCUCAACCGUAAAAUUGCAAUUGAUACUGGCAGUCUUGAGUACAGGUGGGGUAGGCGGAAUUCGUGGUGUAGCGGGGAAAUGCGUAGAUAUUAGGAGGAACACCAGUGGCGAAGGCGUCUUACUGGACCGAAACUGACGUUGAGGCUCGAAAGCGUGGGGAGCAAACAGGAUUAGAUACCCCAGUAGUC